RNAcentral lists this ribosomal RNA (460 nucleotides) under uncultured bacterium. Its description in RNAcentral is "partial 16S ribosomal RNA". It matches the Rfam family "Bacterial small subunit ribosomal RNA", at positions 338 to 795 of the family's 1533-position model. The record is from RNAcentral.
CCUACGGGAGGCAGCAGUGAGGAAUAUUGGUCAAUUGACGAGAGUCUGAACCAGCCAAGUAGCGUGAAGGAUGACUGCCCUAUGGGUUGUAAACUUCUUUUAUAUGGGAAUAAAACGUUCCACGUGUGGGAUUUUGUAUGUACCAUAUGAAUAAGGAUCGGCUAACUCCGUGCCAGCAGCCGCGGUAAUACGGAGGAUCCGAGCGUUAUCCGGAUUUAUUGGGUUUAAAGGGAGCGUAGGUGGAUUGUUAAGUCAGUUGUGAAAGUUUGCGGCUCAACCGUAAAAUUGCAGUUGAAACUGGCAGUCUUGAGUACAGUAGAGGUGGGCGGAAUUCGUGGUGUAGCGGUGAAAUGCUUAGAUAUCACGAAGAACUCCGAUUGCGAAGGCAGUUCACUGGACUGCAACUGACACUGAGGCUCGAAAGUGUGGGUAUCAAACAGGAUUAGAUACCCGAGUAGUC